GCGGGUGUAGUUUAAUGGUAGAACUUCAGCCUUCCAAGCUGAUUGUGAGGGUUCGAUUCCCUUCACCCGCU
This 71-nucleotide transfer RNA is filed under the name Spiroplasma taiwanense CT-1. It matches the Rfam family "tRNA". From Rfam's summary of the family: Transfer RNA (tRNA) molecules are approximately 80 nucleotides in length. Their secondary structure includes four short double-helical elements and three loops (D, anti-codon, and T loops). The record is from Rfam by way of RNAcentral. Lineage: Bacteria; Bacillati; Mycoplasmatota; Mollicutes; Entomoplasmatales; Spiroplasmataceae.